UGGCUCAGUGGUAGAGUGCUUGCUUUGCAUGCAUGUGGCCCUGGGUUCGAUUCCUCAG
RNAcentral lists this transfer RNA (58 nucleotides) under Dipodomys ordii (Ord's kangaroo rat). It matches the Rfam family "tRNA", at positions 8 to 63 of the family's 71-position model. Rfam says of the family: Transfer RNA (tRNA) molecules are approximately 80 nucleotides in length. Their secondary structure includes four short double-helical elements and three loops (D, anti-codon, and T loops). Lineage: Eukaryota; Metazoa; Chordata; Mammalia; Rodentia; Heteromyidae. The record is from Rfam by way of RNAcentral.